AACGCACAUUGCGCCCCCUGGUAUUCCGGGGGGCAUGCCUGUUCGAGCGUCAUUACAACCCUCAAGCUCUGCUUGGUAUUGGGCCCCGCCAGUUCUGGCAGGCCUUAAAAUCAGUGGCGGUGCCAUUCGGCUUCAAGCGUAGUAAUUCUUCUCGCUUUGGAGACCCGGGUGUGUGCUUGCCAGCAACCCCCAAUUUUUUCAGGUUGACCUCGGAUCAGGUAGGGAUACCCGCUGAACUUAA
Molecule: unclassified non-coding RNA, 241 nt
Filed under: uncultured Pseudeurotium
Lineage: Eukaryota; Fungi; Ascomycota; Leotiomycetes; Thelebolales; Pseudeurotiaceae
Description: sequence contains ITS2
Rfam family: 5.8S ribosomal RNA (bases 1-52)
Source: RNAcentral